UUUCCGCUUGAUCCUGCCGGACCCGACUGCUAUCAGAGUGAGAUUAAGCCAUGCGAGUCAACGUAGCAAUACGUGGCAUACGGCUCAGUAACACGUAGUCAACAUAACCAAAGGACGUGGAUAAACUCGGGAAACUGAGGCUAAACCGCGAUAGACCAAGAUACCUGGAAUGGUUUUUGAUCAAAAUCUAUAUGGCCUUUGGAUUGGACUGCGUCCGAUCAGGCUGUUGGUGAGGUAAUGGCCCACCAAACCUAUAACCGGUACGGGCUCUGAGAGGAGGAGCCCGGAGAUGGGUACUGAGAAAAGGACCCAGGCCCUAUGGGGCGCAGCAGGCGCGAAACCUCUGCAAUAGGCGAAAGCCUGACAGGGUUACUCUGAGUGACUCUCGCUAAGAAAGUCUUUUGACACCUCUAAAAACGGUGUAGAAUAAGGGGUGGGCAAGUCUGGUGUCAGCCGCCGCGGUAAUACCAGCACCCCGAGUGGUCGGAACGAUUAUUGGGCCUAAAGCAUCCGUAGCCGGCCUUACAAGUCCUCCGCUAAAUCCAACUGCUUAACAGAUGGGCUGCGGAGGAUACUAUAAGACUAGGAGGCAGGAGAGGCAAGCGGUACUCAGUGGGUAGGGGUAAAAUCCGUUGAUCCAUUGAAGACCACCAGUGGCGAAGGCGGCUUGCCAGAAUGCGCUCGACGGUGAGGGAUGAAAGCUGGGGGAGCAAACCGGAUUAGAUACCCGGGUAGUCCCAGCUGUAAACGAUGCAGACUCGGUGAUGGACCAGCUUAAUGCUAGUCCAGUGCCGCAGGGAAGCCGUUAAGUCUGCCGCCUGGGUAGUACGGUCGCAAGACUGAAACUUAAAGGAAUUGGCGGGGGAGCACCACAAGGGGUGAAGCCUGCGGUUCAAUUGGAUUCAACGCCGGA
Molecule: ribosomal RNA, 913 nt
Filed under: uncultured soil archaeon
Lineage: Archaea
Description: bacterial SSU rRNA
Rfam family: Archaeal small subunit ribosomal RNA
Source: RNAcentral